GCCUUUGGGUUGUAAACCUCUUUUGUCAGGGAAGAAAAUUUGACGGUACCUGAAGAAAAAGCAUCGGCUAACUCCGUGCCAGCAGCCGCGGUAAUACGGAGGAUGCAAGCGUUAUCCGGAAUAAUUGGGCGUAAAGGGUCCGCAGGUGGCCAUUCAAGUCUGCUGUCAAAGCCAGUGGCUCAACCACUGAAAGGCAGUGGAAACUGGGUGGCUAGAGUACGGUAGGGGUAGAGGGAAUUCCCAGUGUAGCGGUGAAAUGCGUAGAUAUUGGGAAGAACACCGGUGGCGAAAGCGCUCUACUGGGCCGAAACUGACACUGAGGGACGAAGGCUAGGGGAGCGAAAGGGAUUAGAUACCCCUGUAGUCCUAGCCGUAAACGAUGGAUACUAGGUGUAGCUUGUAUCGACCCGAGCUGUGCCGAAGCUAACGCGUUAAGUAUCCCGCCCUGGGGAGUACGCACGCAAGUGUGAAACUCAAAGGAAUUGACGGGGGUCCGCACAAGCGGUGGAGUAUGUGGUUUAAUUCGAUGCAACGCGAAGAACCUUACCAGGGCUUGACAUGUGGCGAAUCUGGGUGAAAGCCUGGAGUGCCUUAGGGAGCGCCAACACAGGUAGUGCAUGGCUGUCGUCAGCUCGUGUCGUGAGAUGUUGGGUUAAGUCCCGCAACGAGCGCAACCCUCGUUUUUAGUUGCCAUUUUAAUGGCUCUCUAGAGAGACUGUCGGGGACAACUCGGAGGAAGGUGGGGAUGACGUCAAGUCAGCAUGCCCCUUACGCCCUGGGCUACACACGUACUACAAUGGUUGGGACAAAGGGCAGCAAACCCGCGAGGGCAAGCGAAUCUCAUCAAACCCAGCCUCAGUUCAGAUUGCAGGCUGCAACUCGCCUGCAU
Molecule: ribosomal RNA, 889 nt
Filed under: uncultured Synechocystis sp.
Lineage: Bacteria; Bacillati; Cyanobacteriota; Cyanophyceae; Synechococcales; Merismopediaceae
Description: bacterial SSU rRNA
Rfam family: Bacterial small subunit ribosomal RNA
Source: RNAcentral